ACAGGUGCUGCAUGGCUGUCGUCAGCUCGUGCCGUGAGGUGUGGGUUAAGUCCCGCAACGAGCGCAACCCUAUUGCCAGUUGCUACCAGGUAAUGCUGGGCACUCUGGUGAGACUGCCCCGGUUAACGGGGAGGAAGGUGGGGACGACGUCAAGUCAUCAUGGCCCUUACGCCUAGGACUACACACGUACUACAAUGGCGCAUACAAAGGGCAGCGAUACCGCGAGGUGGAGCCAAUCCCAAAAAGUGCGUCCCAGUCCGGAUUGCAGUCUGCAACUCGACUGCAUGAAGUUGGAAUCGCUAGUAAUUCGAGAUCAGCAUGCUCGGGUGAAUGCGUUCCCGGGCCUU
Molecule: ribosomal RNA, 347 nt
Filed under: uncultured Desulfovibrio sp.
Lineage: Bacteria; Pseudomonadati; Thermodesulfobacteriota; Desulfovibrionia; Desulfovibrionales; Desulfovibrionaceae
Description: bacterial SSU rRNA
Rfam family: Bacterial small subunit ribosomal RNA
Source: RNAcentral